GCCUCGGUAGUAUAAUGGAUCAGCACGGCAGACCGGAUAUAUGUAAGUGCGGGUUCAAGUCUCGCCCGAGGCU
Non-coding RNA from Dictyocaulus viviparus (bovine lungworm), 73 nucleotides. The record is from Rfam. Lineage: Eukaryota; Metazoa; Nematoda; Chromadorea; Rhabditida; Metastrongylidae.